Molecule: long non-coding RNA, 872 nt
Filed under: Olea europaea subsp. europaea
Lineage: Eukaryota; Viridiplantae; Streptophyta; Magnoliopsida; Lamiales; Oleaceae
Source: RNAcentral
CCUCCAUAAUCUAUGAGAUGCUGGAAUUUUUGAUUGCAGAAUUUAUGGACCUGUAGUGCAAAAAUAUGUCUCCGUUACCUAAGUGAAUAUAGUUCACAUAUGUUUAUAGCUAGAAAGUUGGUAUUGUUAUUGAAGAUAGACCUUGUACGCAUAACUCGUAUAUAAAAAAUCCUUAACAAAGACCAAGAGACUUGUCGGAAUAACAGCAGGUUAGUUUUUAGGAAUUACUAUCUAAUGAGUAACACUGCUGCUUCUUUAUCUCAAUUAUAGAUGCUUCUAUCUUUCAUUGGCCUUAUUUUGCAUUUUGCAACUAGUGGAAUAUUGCUUUUUGUCGACUCUGUAUUUGAAGUCAUUGUGAACCUAAUUUCCUCAUAAUUUAUGCAGGCGUGUUCUGGUCUUGUAAACCUGACCCUGGAUACUGUUGAAGGCAAAGUAGCGGAGGCUUUGUUUGUACCAAAAAACCAAAUGUGCCAAGUCUGGGAUUGAGCUCCAUGUGAUGGUAUUUUCCUUGUGAAUUUUAAGGUGAUUGUGACUAUUUGCUUUUGAGGGUAAUUAUUAAUGUAAUGAUAUUGAUAAGCCACUAAUGUCGACCUUAAUGAAAGUUAAUAUAGGCAAUUAUUGGCUAUAUCAAGUAGUAAUAGCCUUAGGAUUUAUAGGGCAUCCUAGAAAAAGCAAGAAAGGUUCAACAUUUUGGCUCAUUGCUCUUUUUACCAAGGAAAAUGCCCACUUGUACACUCAUUUCUUGACAUUGGCAGUGUUGGCAAGUGUUGAUUGGGUGAAAAAAUUGUGUAAAAUGUAAACUAUCCUACCUCGUGGCAAAAUGUAAAUGACGAUGUACAUGUAGCAUGAUUGUUUUACCAAAGUUUAAUGAU